AGUAUACAGAGCGCAGCGUGUUUUCUUGAGUGCCAGCAAGGACCCCAGAGGUGUGCUGGAGGAAAAGAUCUCAAGGCUGUUGAAAUGUCAGAUGGUAAAAACAACCAAGAGUUCCAGAUGGGGCAAUCGGAAGAGAAACAUGCUGAAGAUGAUAAUGAGAAAGUUCUGGAUUCUCUCAACUGGGAGUCCCAUGUCCUCACCUGUGGCUUCCAAACACAAUCACUGUUCAAGUCUUGUGCAAAGCAGCAUGCCAUGAGGAAGUUCUUCAUUAUCAGGGAGUGUUCGACCAAACCAGAGAAGAUCCUUGUCGUGAAGAGUUCAGGGGAAACGUCACAGAGCUCUUCGCUGUUAAGUGGGAGGUCAUGA
This 366-nucleotide long non-coding RNA is filed under the name Numida meleagris (helmeted guineafowl). RNAcentral describes it as "lncRNA (ENSNMEG00000005727.1)". Lineage: Eukaryota; Metazoa; Chordata; Aves; Galliformes; Numididae. The record is from RNAcentral.